GGGGGAGAAGUUGAGGGGUGGGUGGUGGAGAAAAGUGGAUAAAGGUGGUAGAAGAAGGCGGAUGAGGUGGAGAGGUUAAGUGGUGGGAGAAAAUGGCACACGAGAAAGGGUGAUUAUUUUUUAUAUUUAUAUUUUUGUUUUAUUUUUUAUUUUAGAAUUAAAUAUAAUUACUUUAAAUGUCAUGUUAGCUAUUUUGUAAUGUUUUUGUCUCCAUGUCAACUUUUAAUGUCUAUGUUAGCAAACGAUGCUUGACGGAAUUAGCGAACAUUUGAAAUCUGUGUCAUAAUAGACAUUUUCAAUUGAUUAUACCAUUCUGUUCAAGAUCCAAUUGAUUGGGCCUCUUAAAAUUAGUAUUCUAUAUUUUUU
This 366-nucleotide long non-coding RNA is filed under the name Linum usitatissimum (flax). RNAcentral's name for it is "long non-coding RNA (LUSI_LNC008269)". The record is from RNAcentral. Lineage: Eukaryota; Viridiplantae; Streptophyta; Magnoliopsida; Malpighiales; Linaceae.